This 293-nucleotide ribosomal RNA is filed under the name uncultured bacterium. RNAcentral describes it as "partial 16S ribosomal RNA". It matches the Rfam family "Bacterial small subunit ribosomal RNA", at positions 505 to 796 of the family's 1533-position model. The record is from RNAcentral.
GUGCCAGCAGCCGCGGUAAGACGAACCGUGCGAACGUUAUUCGGAAUCACUGGGCUUAAAGCGCGUGUAGGCGGGUCGGUGCGUCGGCCGCUGAAAUCCCCCGGCUCAACCGGGGAAGGGGCGCCGAUACGACCGGCCUGGAGCGACGUAGGGGGAACUGGAACUUCCGGUGGAGCGGUGAAAUGCGUUGAGAUCGGAAGGAACGCCCGUGGCGAAAGCGAGUUCCUGGACGUCGGCUGACGCUGAGACGCGAAAGCCAGGGGAGCGAACGGGAUUAGAUACCCCUGUAGUCC